RNAcentral lists this small RNA (211 nucleotides) under Arabidopsis thaliana (thale cress). RNAcentral's name for it is "ATSL208610". The record is from RNAcentral. Lineage: Eukaryota; Viridiplantae; Streptophyta; Magnoliopsida; Brassicales; Brassicaceae.
UGAAUUUACAAGAAGAUCUUUUAAAAACUCUUGUAAAUCUUUUUAAAACCUUUUAAAAUCCCUUGUAAAUCUUUUAAAACCCUUGUAAAAUCUCUUGUAAAUCUAUUUCCCGCCAAAACAAAUUUACAAGGAUUUUUAAAUGCAUUUUUUGGCUGAGAAAAAAUUUGUUAAGGAAAAAAUUUUGGCGGGAAUUUUUUUUUCGGCUGGAAUU